AAGUUACUGCUAUCGGGGUCCGACUAAGCCAUGCGAGUUGAGAGGGGUAAGCCCUCGGCAUACUGCUCAGUAACACGCGGAUAACCUGCCCUUGGGUCCGGGAUAACCCCGGGAAACUGGGACUAAUACCGGAUAGAUCAGAGAAACUGGAAUGUUCUCUGGUUCAAAACUCCGGUGCCCAAGGAUGGGUCUGCGGCCUAUCAGGUAGUAGUGGGUGUAACGUACCUACUAGCCAGCGACGGGUAAGGGUUGUGAGAGCAAGAUCCCUGAGAUGGAUUCUGAGACAUGAAUCCAGGCCCUACGGGGUGCAGCAGGCGCGAAAGCUUUACACUGCGGGAAACCGCGAUAAGGGGACCCCGAGUGCCAGCACCUAGUGCUGGCUGUCCUACUGUCUAAAUAACAGUGGUUAGCAAGGGCCGGGCAAGACCGGUGCCAGCCGCCGCGGUAACACCGGCGGCCCGAGUGGUAACCGUUUUUAUUGGGUUUAAAGGGUCCGUAGCCGGCUUACUAAGUCUCUUGGGAAAUCUGGCGGCUCAAUCGUCAGGCGGCCAAGAGAUACUGGUAGGCUUGGGACCGGGAGAGGUGGGAGGUACUCCAGGGGUAGGGGUGAAAUCUCGUAAUCCUUGGGGGACCACCGAUGGCGAAGGCAUCCCACCAGAACGGGUCCGACGGUGAGGGACGAAAGCUGGGGGCACGAACCGGAUUAGAUACCCGGGUAGUCCCAGCUGUAAACGAUGCUCGCUAGGUGUCAGGUGCGGUGCGACCGCAUCUGGUGCCGCAGUGAAAACUUGAAGCGAGUCACCUGGGAAGUACGGUCGCAAGGCUGAAACUUAAAGGAAUUGGCGGGGGAGCACUACAACGGGUGGAGCCUGCGGUUC
RNAcentral lists this ribosomal RNA (878 nucleotides) under uncultured archaeon. RNAcentral describes it as "bacterial SSU rRNA". It matches the Rfam family "Archaeal small subunit ribosomal RNA", at positions 21 to 903 of the family's 1478-position model. The record is from RNAcentral.